RNAcentral lists this ribosomal RNA (439 nucleotides) under uncultured Pseudomonas sp. Its description in RNAcentral is "bacterial SSU rRNA". It matches the Rfam family "Bacterial small subunit ribosomal RNA", at positions 338 to 769 of the family's 1533-position model. Lineage: Bacteria; Pseudomonadati; Pseudomonadota; Gammaproteobacteria; Pseudomonadales; Pseudomonadaceae. The record is from RNAcentral.
CCUACGGGAGGCAGCAGUGGGGAAUAUUGGACAAUGGGGGAAACCCUGAUCCAGCCAUGCCGCGUGUGUGAAGAAGGUCUUAGGAUUGUAAAGCACUUUAAGUUGGGAGGAAGAGCAGUUAACUAAUAUUUGACUGUUUUGACGUUACCGACAGAAUAAGCACCGGCUAACUUCGUGCCAGCAGCCGCGGUAAUACGAAGGGUGCAAGCGUUAAUCGGAAUUACUGGGCGUAAAGCGCGCGUAGGUGGUUCAGUAAGUUAGGAGUGAAAGCCCCGGGCUUAACCUGGGAAUUGCUUCUAAAACUGCUGAGCUAGAGUACGGUAGAGGGUGGUGGAAUUUCCUGUGUAGCGGUGAAAUGCGUAGAUAUAGGAAGGAACAUCAGUGGCGAAGGCGACCACCUGGACUGAUACUGACACUGAGGUGCGAAAGCGUGGGGAGC